GCUGCCGGCCAGCCAGACCCGGGCGUGAAUGGUGGGGGCCUCUUGGCUGUGUGCCCUGGAGCAAGGAGCAUGACGUCUCUGAACCUGCACAUCUUUAGCUGCGCAGUGGGAAUGAGCUCCUGAGGAACAGCUUCCUGCCACUUCACUCCAAAAGUCUGCUCUCUUCCAUGAAAUACCAAAACAAACAGGGGGAAAAAACAAGCCUUUGAACUGCUAUUUGGCACCCCUGAGAGGUGUGGCCAAUCUGACUUGCUGUUGGUCCAUGCGCUCCAUCCCUGGCCUGGAUCGUGGUCCCUGAGCACUCCUCGGUUUCUGCACUGCCCUAACCAGGGAGCAAGGGACUCCUCCCCGGACACAGAGAGGCUGCACCCAGUGCUCUCCAGAUACGGCCACAGCGCUGAGAGUUUUCAAAUUCUCACUGCGUGCUUGGCCCUCCAUUCUGCAUGCAUCAUAUCACAUAACCCUGCCAAUAAGCCACAAGGUUAAUAAUAGUUCAGAAGGUAAGGGGAAGGAGACCAGAGGAGUUCACGUUCAAGGGGCUCAGAGCCUCCUUCUCCCACUGUGGUACCCGGGCAGCUCCUUGUCCUGCCCUGCUCUCCAGGGAGCCUCCUGCCCUGGCUUUUGUAACGGAGCCAGAGAGUGGACGCAUCAUUGGACCCUGAGCGGCUAGAGGGGGAGAGAAAGGUCCGAGGAGGAAGAGACUGUGCUCCUGGCUGUGGAAGAAGGGAAAGCACUGGAAGGAGAGGCCGGCGGAAUUUUAGAGAAGAUUUACCUGUUGCCUUCACAGAACUUAAGAAAUGCAAGAAAACAACUUGAACUCGGGACUCUCUCCUUGCAGGCGGCCUGCCUGAGAGCCUGAACGGCACAGAGUCGUGGCUUUAAAGUUGCACGAAGCGGGGCGCCUGGGGGGCU
Molecule: long non-coding RNA, 912 nt
Organism: Suricata suricatta (meerkat)
Lineage: Eukaryota; Metazoa; Chordata; Mammalia; Carnivora; Herpestidae
Exons: 4
Source: RefSeq, a predicted model, not a curated record